Microtus oregoni (creeping vole) is the source of this 151-nucleotide long non-coding RNA. RefSeq lists it as uncharacterized. The record is from RefSeq and is a predicted model, not a curated record. The transcript has 3 exons. NCBI's taxonomy places the organism in Eukaryota, Metazoa, Chordata, Mammalia, Rodentia, Cricetidae.
GAAGGCUAGCAGCAGAUCAAGACAUAGAACUCUCCUCCGGCACCAUGUUUGUCUGCACACCACCAUGAAGAGCAGAGACUGAACCUCUGAGCUUGACAUUUGAAGAAAGAAGAUGGCAGAACAGAGUGGCCAGGGCUGAAAGGAACAGAAC